This 645-nucleotide long non-coding RNA is filed under the name Sus scrofa (pig). RNAcentral describes it as "lncRNA (ENSSSCG00015003844.1)". Lineage: Eukaryota; Metazoa; Chordata; Mammalia; Artiodactyla; Suidae. The record is from RNAcentral.
AUGUUUUGCCUUUUCUUUUGCUCAUUGUUCCCUAAAGCCACAUAUUUGUUUUAUGAUUUUCCACCUUCACAUGCCAUUUCUUCUUAUUCUCCCCAGAUGCCUCAUUGCUAUGUCUCUCCCUUUUUUCUCCAGCAUCUUACUUGCUGUUGGAAGUCUGGCUUGACCCAAUGUGAGGCCCUCUUCUCCAUUCCAGAUCCAGGACACCAUUCCCUGAAGGAGCCAUCAGGGGCCUGUGGGAUAGAGGCCAUUGCUGGGGAUGCCCUGAUAGAGGUCCUUCAACAAAUAACAAGUAAGAGGCUGCAGUUUCUGCAACGAGAGAUGAUGGGGCUGAAAUGUCAGCAGGACAGACCAGGAUGGAAGAUCAAUCACGGAGCGACCUUGCUUCUGCUUUCAAGUUUACUGCAUGAUCCCAAGACAGCUGCUGGAGAAGCCAGUGGAUGGACAGCCAGUUACCACAUUCACAUUCCAGGAAAGCAACAGGCCUCAGGAGGUGAGGACAAAAGAUCACCCACCCCCAUCCCUUUAAGAAACCUUCCUGGAGUUCCCGUCGUGGCGCAGUGGUUAACGAAUCCGACUAGGAACCAUGAGGUUGCGGGUUCGAUCCCUGGCCUUGCUCAGUGGGUUAAGGAUCUGGCAUUGCCGUGA